UGAGUGCGAGCGGCUACGGCCGCGAAGUGGGUGAUGCCAAGCUUCCAAGAAAAGCCCUAUACCCGUUAAGGCAUGAUGGCCUGUACCCGAAACCGACACAGGUGGGGUGGUAGAGAAUACCGAGGGGCGCGAGGUAACUCUCUCUAAGGAACUCGGCAAAAUGGCCCCGUAACUUCGGGAGAAGGGGUGCCACCGCAAGGUGGUCGCAGUGAAGAGGCCCAGGCGACUGUUUACCAAAAACACAGGUCUCCGCUAAGUCGCAAGACGAUGUAUGGGGGCUGACGCCUGCCCAGUGCCGGAAGGUUAAGGAAGCUGGUCAGCGCAAGCGAAGCUGGCGACUGAAGCCCCGGUGAACGGCGGCCGUAACUAUAACGGUCCUAAGGUAGCGAAAUUCCUUGUCGGGUAAGUUCCGACCCGCACGAAAGGCGUAACGAUCUGGGCGCUGUCUCGGAGAGAGGCUCGGCGAAAUAGAAUUGUCUGUGAAGAUGCGGACUACGUGCACCCGGACAGAAAGACCCUAUGAAGCUUUACUGUAGCUUGGUAUUGUGCCCGGGCUCUGAAUGCGCAGGAUAGGUGGGAGGCUUUGAUCCAUGGCUUGCGGGUCAUGGUGAGCCAACGGUGAGAUACCACUCUUUCAGAGCUAGGGUUCUAACGGUCACCCGUCAUCCGGGGACCGGACAGUAUCAGGUGGGCAGUUUGACUGGGGCGGUCGCCUCCUAAAAGGUAACGGAGGCGCGCAAAGGUUUGCUCAGGCUGGUUGGAAAUCAGCCGACGAGUGCAAAAGCAGAAGCAAGCUUGACUGUGAGACCUACAAGUCGAACAGGGACGAAAGUCGGCUUUAGUGAUCCGACGGUUCUGAGUGGAAGGGCCGUCGCUCAACGGAUAAAAGUUACUCUAAGGAUAACAGGCUGAUCUCCCCCAAGAGUUCACAUCGACGGGGAGGUUUGGCACCUCGAUGUCGGCUCAUCGCAACCUGGGGCUGAAGUCGGUCCCAAGGGUUGGGCUGUUCGCCCAUUAAAGCGGUACGCGAGCUGGGUUCAGAACGUCGUGAGACAGUUCGGUCCAUAUCCGGUGCACGCGCAGGAACAUUGAGAGGAUUUCUCCCUAGUACGAGAGGACCGGGAGGAACGCACCUCUGGUGUGCCAGUUAUCGUGCCAACGGUAGACGCUGGGUAGCCAUGUGCGGAGUGGAUAACCGCUGAAAGCAUCUAAGUGGGAAGCCCACCUCAAGAUGAGUGUUCCCAUGGCAUAAGCCAGUAAGGUCACGGGAAGAACACCCGUUGAUAGGCUCUACGUGGAAGCCGGGUAACCGGUGAAGCGGAGGAGUACUAAUAGACCGAGGGCUUGAC
Molecule: ribosomal RNA, 1349 nt
Filed under: metagenome
Description: bacterial LSU rRNA
Rfam family: Bacterial large subunit ribosomal RNA
Source: RNAcentral